RNAcentral lists this non-coding RNA (205 nucleotides) under Hanusia phi. Lineage: Eukaryota; Cryptophyceae; Pyrenomonadales; Geminigeraceae. The record is from RNAcentral.
UUUUAAAAAAGUUUAAAGCAAAAAGAAAGUCCAAGACAAGGAAGCAACUGUCAAUGUUACUUCAAAUCCCACAUGUGAUGUCCAUAGUCAUUGAACUCGUGGCUAAUAUCCUUCUUCACCGAUUUUUCCACGCUUGAGAGAACAUUUGAUUCACUCUCGAGUGAUUUUUCAGCGACAUCUUUCACAGUAUUUAUACUUUCGCUAA